This 254-nucleotide ribosomal RNA is filed under the name uncultured bacterium. RNAcentral's name for it is "partial 16S ribosomal RNA". It matches the Rfam family "Bacterial small subunit ribosomal RNA", at positions 524 to 776 of the family's 1533-position model. The record is from RNAcentral.
UACGUAGGGGGCAAGCGUUGUCCGGAAUCAUUGGGCGUAAAGAGCGUGUAGGCGGCUUGGUAAGUCCGCUGUGAAAGUCCAGGGCUCAACCCUGGAAUGCCGGUGGAAACUGUCAAGCUUGAGUCCGGAAGAGGCGAGUGGAAUUCCUGGUGUAGCGGUGAAAUGCGCAGAUAAUCAGGAGGAACACCAAUGGCGAAGGCAGCUCGCUGGGACGGUACUGACGCUGAGACGCGAAAGCGUGGGGAGCAAACAGG